AAUACGUAGGGUGCGAGCGUUGUCCGGAAUUAUUGGGGGUAAAGGGCUCGUAGGCGGUUUGUCGCGUCGGGAGUGAAAACCAGGUGCUUAACACCUGGCUUGCUUUCGAUACGGGCAGACUAGAGGUAUUCAGGGGAGAACGGAAUUCCUGGUGUAGCGGUGAAAUGCGCAGAUAUCAGGAGGAACACCGGUGGCGAAGGCGGUUCUCUGGGAAUAUCCUGACGCUGAGGAGCGAAAGUGUGGGGAGUGAACAGG
This 255-nucleotide ribosomal RNA is filed under the name uncultured prokaryote. RNAcentral describes it as "partial 16S ribosomal RNA". It matches the Rfam family "Bacterial small subunit ribosomal RNA", at positions 522 to 776 of the family's 1533-position model. The record is from RNAcentral.